Anopheles stephensi (Asian malaria mosquito) is the source of this 4153-nucleotide long non-coding RNA. RefSeq lists it as uncharacterized. Lineage: Eukaryota; Metazoa; Arthropoda; Insecta; Diptera; Culicidae. The record is from RefSeq and is a predicted model, not a curated record. The transcript is spliced from 5 exons.
UCCCGCGAAAAAUGGUUUGCCUGUAAUGGGAUGUGCAAUGGGGAUGAGAAUGAUUAGUAAAACGCCAUCACUCGAAUCAUAUUAACAGUAGCAGAUAUGAUAGAGAAAACCCGGGUUAAAACCAACCGUGCAAAUCGCGCACUUUCAGCUGCGUCAGAUAUGGCCCAAGAAUCGUUCGCAUUGCGGCAUCAGUAACUUCACGAGAGUGCCGAUUGUAGUUAGAACGCAAACACUUCCCAUCACUGUGCAACAUUAUGGCCGAGCUUUGUGUAAAUGCAAUGGUAGAAGCAGAAAAGAUUCUAAAACUGAUGAUUCCGAAACACAACCUUUGGAGACGCUUCUCAAUCACUUCAAUCACGGAAGAACGCUACGAAUUGACUGCACUGCACGGGGCACGGAUUAUGCGAAAGCAUGGCAAUUAUGUUCGUGUCUGCCCCUGAUUGGCUAGCGCCCUUAGUUACCGUUGCCAGGUAGUGGAUAGCAAAGAAAAGGCGGAAUGUUGAAUUGCGACACAUGGCGAUUGAAGCAUCUGUCACUAUUUUCAUUGAUCUGUCAAAAUUCCUUUGGAAAAGUUGCAGUAUUCUGAAUUAGAAAUAUUGCUAUAGUGUUACGGAUGUGUAAAGUUCGGAGACAUAUGAAGAAAACAGCUUUAACUAAAUCAUUCCUCACUGGAAGCUCUGAUAUGUGCCAGGAUUAACGUCUCGCUUCAGACACGCAAAGCCAAACCAGCACCAUCCAUCACAUAAAGAACCUAGCCCAUCGCGGCGAAGGUAGCGGCCGUAUUGACAAACUGGCGACCUGACGGUUCCGGCUAGACGGCAGCGUACAGGAAUUGGAAAACUAUUAGCCCCUAAAAUGUGAGACUCGGCGUGUUUGAAACCAUGCGCACACUUUGUUUGAUUAGCUGAUUGGAAAGUAUGAAGCGGUAGACGGCGGACCACCCUGCCCGAUAGGGUUGCACAGAUGGUUGUUUGCUGUUUGGCACAAAAUUGCCUACUUCAAGCAUCAUUGACAGACCAGAUUAAGACCUAAAUCGUGCCUAACGAUGGGUGGGAACAUAGUGUUCCAAUAUUUAUGCACAAACCCUUGGCGUGCGGGAAACGAUUGGCUGUAUGCUCCUAACCAACCCAUAAUGUGACCGAGUGCUAACGUUGCCACAGGAGUGUUUUCUACAGCGUACGCCAGCCCUUGGGAGAAAAUAGGCAAUACAACAAUUCCUUAUAAACGCCCUACAGACGCGGGGCAAUCUGGUCCCUCGUACCAGUGGGAACACUUAUCGUGUGUGGAAUGAUGGUGGCUUACCGGCCUCCUUCACUGCACUGCUUCCUGCGUAUAGUUAGGCUAGGCGGGGUAGGAAAUGGGGGGUGUCGAAUCUCCCUUCCUGUUCCACGUCAAACGUUGCGUGCGGCACGAGCUGCAUUUCAACGUACAACAUUACUAGUCUUGAUUAUGUGUGCCUGCUGUGCUCGGUGUGGAAGGCUUAUCGCCGCGUGGCCAGGAAAGUUGUGCGCGCUGGGGUGCGAGAAAAAUUAUUAUCAAAAUAAUCGUAAUUAUCGCUUGUAAUUUGUAUUUACUAGAAACGCCUACUAGCCACCGGGGACAGCGAGUGAGAGAGAAUAGUGACGAUUAGUCCAAGGAUUAUUGCCCUGUGCGUUCGGGGUCGAACGUUUUGCUGUAUGGGUUGAGUCCGUGGUGCGCCCGGGAAAGAUUGCAUGAUUUAAUUUAAUCUACCCCCGUUGUUCAUGCCCACUGCUACUUCUGGUGCUCGGAACCCAGAAACCGAAUGGAUAUUACGUUGUUUGAAGAAGGUUGAUAGUGCUGUUGGGAGUCGGGGAUCCGUACGUGUCACGCUUGUUGACGAGUUGGGGCUUUUUUAUCGUUUAGCAUGAAGCCUACGAACAACGGGCUGUGGACCGAUAGGAUCGAAUCCUCUCAGGAACACGAACCAGUAAUUAAGUAUCGUUUGUAUGGUUUGCCGUGAAUGCCGAUUGGAAAAUAUUCUGCAGGAUUGAGGUGCAAAGAGUUUUAUUGCAGCUCUAUUUUCGAAGUUUUAAAUGAAGCGAAUGGUUCAACUGUAAAUAGUAAUUGAAAAUCGAUUUACGAACAUAGUGCUUUGAUUCGUGUACAAUGCCCGUAAUAGUUGUUUGAUUCGAGACCAUCAUUGUACAAUAUUUUUCAUCGGGGUUUUUAUUUUUCUCAACAUAAAACGUAUAAUGUAACGUGUUUUGUUGUUAGUCAGAUAUUAUUCAUCUCCUCAUUGUGACGGCCAGUACUCCACACCGAAACCUUGCACAACAUUAAGCUAUCUUUUUGUCAAUCGGUUUUGCGCCACAUUUCGCAUAAUCGAGUUAUCCGUAAUGGUGUGCCAAGCGUAUACGAUACCACACGCCCACUCACGGGAGAUUUUCCACUUGCGAGACGUACACGUUGCGUUAGUUUCGCAAAACAAUACGAACCUAAGCAUCGGAAGAUCAUUCCGACGAAAGUCCUCACGGCUGAACAGCACACCCCACUACGGCAAACCCCAUCAUAAUGUGUAUGAAAAUGUAAUUUACAUUCAAAACAACCGCACACGCAGUGGUAUCCCGGUUUAAUUAAUAUUUAUAUUUACAACCAUCGUCAUCGUUGCGGCGCUCAUGCAUCCUGAAAACACUUAGAUGUCAACCCAUUGUGACGCUGUGGGCGCGCGCGUGGUAUGGCAGUUGGGUGUUUCGGCGGUGGCGGUAAUGUUCAUGGCUGCCUAGCCAGCCGGUAAGCAAUACAGCCAACCGUUUACGGUGACGAUUCCCGUGGCUAGCAUUAUCCGGCACCAUGGAAAGGGUCCGACCGGGAAGCCUGCUUGGCAAUUCAAUGAAGCAGAAGCGACGUGAUUCAUACGGGCCGGCAAACAAGCCAAUGGACGGACAGGUGAUCGCUGCGGAUGUGAUAUGUGCCACUGUUAUCGCACUAGGAAGAACAAUAAAGAUUCAUGUUUGUGAGAGUGCAAUUACAUCCGGGCGCUGUUGUUUUUUUUUUGCGGCUGUUGUAAGAGCUGGUGCGAAUGGAAUGUGUUUUAUGGACAACCUUUUCCAUGUACACUAUAUCCUUUCAUUUUCGAUUCGUUUUAGACGCUGUACGUAUCUACCACCGAUCGGAAAUUGAAUGGCGGGUCCAAAAUAUGAUCCACCGAAUGGGGGAGGUUUUAAUUAAAGGAUAGAAAAAUUUAUGGCAACAUGGAAGUGGAGCACUUGAGCGAACGUGUGAGAAACCAUUUAUUGAAUCGACCGCUGAGUGAACGUGUGCCCCUGUGAUCACGCUGUGGGAAAGUUGAGAGGAGAAAUGCUGCUCGAACAGGGCACAGGGGUUGGUACGUGGCCAACAAAAGAUUACUCCCGGAAAUCGUUACUUAUGCGCUGUGGAAUAAUAAGUGAGCGCCACGUUUUAAGGACGAAAGGACGGAUAAAAAAUGGAACCUCGUUCGCGUUCGUUCGUUCGCGUUAUCAAAUGGGUCCCGCGAUAAGGUCCCGCGGGAGCUUGAAAGUGUCCGCUCGGGCGUUUCAGUUGAAAAGGUGUUUGACGCGUAGAGGGCGAGAAUGUAAAAUCGCAACCGAAGCGGAAGAAAGAAAAUGGGAGGCAGAAAACACAAGACACAAAAUUAAAUCAACACUUUACGAUCCUGACCAUCGUUGUCAUCGACGCCGCCGUAACGCUGUAGCCUGGCGUCACGAUGUGGAAAACGGAAAACGUGCUGAAAGUAUAAAUCUUUAUUGCAAUCACAACGAAGACCACUGUGGGUGGGAGAUACGAGCCCACGGGUAGGGAAAACGUGUAUCUCAAGCGCUGAUUCGAGCAAAAGUUUAAACGUAAGUCCCCUCGUCGUUCGUCGUUCGAGAGCCAUAAAUUUGUAUCCGAUUUUUCGUUUUCGCUGAUUUAAUUUCUGGAAAACCACUCGGCCAGAAUGAAGGGCGUUUUUGAAGAGGAAUUUAAAAAAUCGCAACUAUUGUAUAUAAUAGUUGAUUCAGUUGGGUAAGGGAAUGGGGUUGAGAAUUCAAUGAGUUACCAGUCGUGGUCGUGUCGUUGGGUCAGAUCGUAACAGUUUGUUGUGAUGUUAAUUUAUGCAGGAACAAAGAUACACGAAACUGAAGUGAAAAUAAAAAUCGGGAUUUCAAUUGCA